This 349-nucleotide small RNA is filed under the name Histoplasma capsulatum. Its description in RNAcentral is "hypothetical RNA". The record is from RNAcentral. RNAcentral also lists the same sequence under 1 other name. Lineage: Eukaryota; Fungi; Ascomycota; Eurotiomycetes; Onygenales; Ajellomycetaceae.
ACUGAUCGCUCAAGAUGGCGUUCGACCGAAGUACACCUUUACAAAACGACUUUUGGCGGAAUGAAUCACUCAAAGCUAUAAAUUGAGAUCACAACAGGAGGAAUCGGAAUCGCCUGCCAGUGCGGUAGCACUUGCAGCAGCAAACUUGACACUGCUACUUCAUUAGUUGGUUAUGAAAAAUACAGAAGCAGCUUGACUGAUUGCGUAUCCACCAUAAUAAUAGAUUACUUAGUCUUUAUCUCCCUGCCAUCGAGAAAAAAUAGCCUGGUGUCUAAGGUCCUCCAAAAUCUAUAUAAUCCACAGAUUGUUAUCCAUGUCAAUGAGGACAUUGUCUGGUUCAGCAUCCCCC